This 443-nucleotide ribosomal RNA is filed under the name uncultured bacterium. Its description in RNAcentral is "partial 16S ribosomal RNA". It matches the Rfam family "Bacterial small subunit ribosomal RNA", at positions 338 to 795 of the family's 1533-position model. The record is from RNAcentral.
CCUACGGGUGGCUGCAGUGGGGAAUAUUGGGCAAUGGGCGCAAGCCUGACCCAGCAACGCCGCGUGAAGGAAGAAGGCGUUCGGGUUGUAAACUUCUGUUCGCAGGGACGAAGAAAGUGACGGUACCUGAGGAAUAAGCCACGGCUAACUACGCGCCAGCAGCCGCGGUAAUACGUAGGGGGCUAGCGUUAUCCGGAUUUAUGGGGUGUAAAGGGCGUGUAGGCGGGAGCGCAAGUCUGAUGUGAAAACUCAGGGAUCAACCCUGAGCCUGCCUUUGAAAUGGUGUUUCUUGAGUGCUGGAGAGGCAAGCGGAAUUCCUGGUGUAGCGGUGAAAUGCGUAGAUAUCAGGAGGAACACCAGUGGCGAAGGCGGCCUGCUGGACUGCAACUGACGUUGAGGCCCGAAAGCGUGGGGAGCAAACAGGAUUAGAUACCCGAGUAGUC